GAUGAACGCUGUCUACAGGCUUAACACAUGCAAGUCGAGGGGAAACGACGGGGAAGCUUGCUUCCCCGGGCGUCGACCGGCGCACGGGUGAGUAACGCGUAUCCAACCUGCCUCUGACUGAGGGAUAACCCGUCGAAAGUCGGCCUAAUACCUCAUGGCAUCGUCUGCGGGCAUCCAACGACGAUUAAAGAUUUCAUCGGUCAGGGAUGGGGAUGCGUCUGAUUAGCUUGUUGGCGGGGUAACGGCCCACCAAGGCUACGAUCAGUAGGGGUUCUGAGAGGAAGGUCCCCCACAUUGGAACUGAGACACGGUCCAAACUCCUACGGGAGGCAGCAGUGAGGAAUAUUGGUCAAUGGGCGGGAGCCUGAACCAGCCAAGUAGCGUGCAGGAUGACGGCCCUAUGGGUUGUAAACUGCUUUGAUGCGGGGAUAAAGUGAGGGACGUGUCCUUCAUUGCAGGUACCGCAUGAAUAAGGACCGGCUAAUUCCG
RNAcentral lists this ribosomal RNA (489 nucleotides) under uncultured bacterium. Its description in RNAcentral is "partial 16S ribosomal RNA". It matches the Rfam family "Bacterial small subunit ribosomal RNA", at positions 28 to 505 of the family's 1533-position model. The record is from RNAcentral.